Molecule: ribosomal RNA, 441 nt
Filed under: uncultured bacterium
Lineage: Bacteria
Description: partial 16S ribosomal RNA
Rfam family: Bacterial small subunit ribosomal RNA
Source: RNAcentral
CCUACGGGAGGCAGCAGUGGGGAAUAUUGCACAAUGGGGGAAACCCUGAUGCAGCGACGCCGCGUGGGUGAAGAAGUAUUUCGGUAUGUAAACCCCUAUCAGCAGGGAAGAAGAUGACAGUACCUGACUAAGAAGCCCCGGCUAACUACGUGCCAGCAGCCGCGGUAAUACGUAGGGGGCAAGCGUUAUCCGGAUUUACUGGGUGUAAAGGGAGCGUAGGUGGGAUGGCAAGCCAGAAGUGAAACCCCGGGGGUUAACCCCGGGGAUUGCGUUUGGAACGGUCGGGCUGGAGUGCAGGAGGGGCAGGUGGAAUUCCUGGUGUAGCGGUGAAAUGCGGAGAUAUCAGGAGGAACACCAGUGGCGAAGGCGGCCUGCUGGACUGUAAAUGACGCUGAGGCACGAAGGCGAGGGGAGCGAAAAGGAGUAGAUACCCGGGUAGUC